RNAcentral lists this ribosomal RNA (274 nucleotides) under uncultured bacterium. RNAcentral's name for it is "partial 16S ribosomal RNA". It matches the Rfam family "Bacterial small subunit ribosomal RNA", at positions 523 to 796 of the family's 1533-position model. The record is from RNAcentral.
AUACGGAGGGUCCGAGCGUUAAUCGGGAUUACUGGGCGUAAAGCGCGCGUAGGCGGCUAUAUAAGUCAGAUGUGAAAUCCCUGGGCUCAACCUAGGAACUGCAUUUGAAACUGUAUGGCUAGAGUAUGGUAGAGGUGAGUGGAAUUUCAGGUGUAGCGGUGAAAUGCGUAGAGAUCUGAAGGAACAUCAGUGGCGAAGGCGACUCACUGGGCCAUUACUGACGCUGAGGUGCGAAAGCGUGGGUAGCAAACAGGAUUAGAAACCCUAGUAGUCC